Molecule: transfer RNA, 50 nt
Filed under: Menticirrhus americanus (southern kingcroaker)
Lineage: Eukaryota; Metazoa; Chordata; Actinopteri; Sciaenidae
Description: partial tRNA-Leu
Source: RNAcentral
GCUUCUAAUGGAUAACAGCUCAUCCGGUUGGUCUUAGAGCCUGAAACUUU